RNAcentral lists this small nucleolar RNA (138 nucleotides) under Erinaceus europaeus (western European hedgehog). Its description in RNAcentral is "Small nucleolar RNA SNORA70 (ENSEEUG00000016682.1)". It matches the Rfam family "Small nucleolar RNA SNORA70". Rfam says of the family: snoRNA U70 seems to be exclusive to mammals and is a member of the H/ACA class of snoRNA which contain H (ANANNA) and ACA box motifs. H/ACA box snoRNAs are involved in the conversion of uridines to pseudouridines (5-ribosyluracil) a constituent of structural RNAs (transfer, ribosomal, small nuclear, and small nucleolar). The record is from RNAcentral. Lineage: Eukaryota; Metazoa; Chordata; Mammalia; Eulipotyphla; Erinaceidae.
CAACAGCCAAUUAAGCCCACAGUGCUUAAGCCCUCCCCAUGGUGCCUGGUGGUGCAGUGACUGCAAACAGCAGCCUCCUUGGUAGUGUAUGCAGCCUGUUGCUUGUAUAGGCUGCCCUAAGGGACCCUGGAGACAGCC